ACAUAAAUUUUUCAUAAACAUUUGAAAAUAUUAAAAUUAAUAAAUUAUAUAUAUCUGCUAUAAUCACCUCUGCAUGAUUUUCACCAACAAAUCCAACCCUUUUCCCGGUUUGCAAAUUACAAUUUUCGCUCUCUUUUUUAGAGCGAAAAGAGAUAUCUCCAUCUUUCUCCCGAUUUCUUAAUCGACAGGGUUAGGGUUUCUCUGCAAUUCCUAGCUCUAUUGAAGGCCAUCGGCUUCCCUUUUGAUUGUCCUUGAUUUUCAUUGUCAUUGUUUUCAAUCUUCUUUCGGAAUAGUUCCUCUACCACAUGGAGCGCAGGACAAUCGACUUGGAUCAAGGAUGGGAUUUUAUGCAGAAAGGAAUCACAAAGCUGAAGAUUAUUCUGGAAGGAUCACUAGAGCAAAUCAGCUCAGAAGAAUAUAUGAUGCUUUACACGACUAUAUACAAUAUGUGUACACAGAAGCCCCCUCAUGAUUAUUCUCAGCAGCUUUAUGACAAGUACAGGGAGUCUUUUGAAGAUUAUAUUAAUUCCAUGGUGCUGCCAUCUAUACGAGAGAAGCAUGAUGAGUUUAUGCUGAGGGAGCUUGUGAAAAGGUGGUCUAACCAUAAACUUAUGGUUAGGUGGUUGUCACGCUUCUUUCAUUAUUUGGAUCGCUACUUUAUUGCUCAGAAGUCGCUUCCUGAACUUAAUGAAGUUGGGCUGACUUGCUUCUGUGACCUGGUCUAUGAGGAAGUAAAUGGAAAAGUUAGAAAUGCUGUGAUUGUUCUUAUCAAUAAAGAACGUGAGGGAGCACAGAUUGAAAGGGCAUUGUUGAAGAAUGUUUUAGAUAUAUUUGUUGAGAUUGGAAGGGGUUCAAUGGAUCGUUAUGAACAAGAUUUUGAAGUACACAUGCUUGAAGAUACUGUUGCUUACUAUUCUGGUAAAGCAUCAAACUGGAUUUCGGAGGAUUCUUGUCCAGACUAUAUGCUGAAGACUAAGGAAUGCCUGAAGAAGGAGAGGGAUAGAGUUUCUGAUUACUUGCAUUCAAGCAGUGAGCCAAAGUUAGUAGAGAAAGUUCAACAUGAGUUGUUGGUAGUCCCUGCAAACCAAGUGUUUAAAAAGGAGCACUCUGGAUGUCGUGCAUUGUUUCAAGAUGUUAAGGUGAAGGAUCUUUCAAGAAUGUAUCGGCUUUACCAUAAAAUAUCCAAAGGCUUGGAACCUGUUGCUAAUAUUUUCAAGCAGCAUAUUACUGCUGAAGGGACAGUCUUGGUCCAACAAGCUGAAGAUGCUGCAAGUAGCCUGGCUGUGAAUGGUGGUGUACAGGAACAGGUUCUUGUGAGAAAAAUAAUUGAGCUGCAUGACAAAUAUAUGGCAUACGUGAAUGAUUGUUUUCAAAAUCACACCCUCUUUCACAAGGCCAUGAAAGAGGCUUUUGAGAUAUUCUGUAAUAAAACAGUUGCUGGCAGUUCAAGCGCAGAACUACUGGCAACUUUUUGUGAUAAUAUCCUCAAGAAGGGUGGAAGUGAGAAACUGAGCGAUGAAGCCAUAGAAGAAAUGCUGGAAAAGGUAGUAAAAUUGCUGGCGUAUAUCAGUGAUAAGGACCUUUUUGCUGAAUUCUACAGAAAGAAGCUUGCUCGGCGUCUUCUUUUUGACCGGAGUGCUAAUGAUGAUCAUGAAAGGAGUAUUCUUACAAAACUGAAACAGCAGUGUGGUGGACAGUUCACUUCAAAGAUGGAGGGGAUGGUCACUGAUUUGACACUGGCAAGGGAAAAUCAGACAAGCUUUGAGAAAUAUCUUGGCAAUAACCCAAAUGCACAUCCUGGGAUUGAUUUAACGGUUACUGUUCUUACAACUGGAUUUUGGCCCAGUUAUAAAUCCUCUGAUCUUAACCUUCCUGCAGAGAUGGUCAAGGGUGUUGAAAUUUUCAAGGAAUUCUAUGAUCAAAAAAGCAAGCACCGGAAACUUACAUGGAUCUAUUCACUGGGGUGUUGCCAUCUCAAUGGCAAGUUUGAGCAAAAAACUAUUGAGCUGAUUGUGUCAACCUACCAGGCUGCUCUCCUGCUGCUUUUUAACUCUUCGGACAGGCUCAGUUAUUCUGAGAUUAUGACUCAGUUAAACUUGACCCAUGAUGACUUGGUUAGAGUGGUUCAUUCCUUGUCUUGUGCCAAGUACAAGAUCCUUACGAAGGAACCAAAUACAAAGACCAUUUCCCAAACAGACUACUUUGAAGUUAACCACAAGUUCACUGACAGAAUGAGAAGAAUCAAGAUUCCUCUCCCCCCAGUAGAUGAAAGAAAGAAGGUUGUUGAAGACGUUGAUAAGUACAGGAGAUAUGCAAUUGAUGUUGCAAUUGUGCGCAUAAUGAAGAGUCGGAAAGUUUUGGGCCAUCAACAAUUAGUCUCGGAGUGUGUUGAGCAGUUGAGUCGUAUGUUCAAGCCUGACAUUAAGGCAAUUAAGAAGCGAAUGGAAGAUCUGAUCACUCGAGACUACUUGGAGAGAGAUAAGGAGAACCCAAACAUGUUUAGGUACUUGGCAUAAUUCAACAAGCAAUACAGUUAUGGGCCUUUGGUUGAAAAUGGCAUGUUUUUGCUGAGAGGGAUCAGAAAGAGUAUAUAGUUGACAGCGACUUACAAUUUGCAAAUUGAUGUAAAUGAUGUAGUUGCAGUGUUUAUUUAGUAAUUUAAUGAUAUUAUAAGUCAACAGUGUCAAAGAAUUUUUUUUUUUAAUUUAUAAAAAAUUAAUAAAUUUGUUAGUAAAAAAAUACUAUCAAAAGACGAACUCUUCACAAAAGCUACCGUACUCACCUCACUAAUAUCACAGCAUACCCUUUCUCCUGCUUCUCUCUCAAAUCACUCGCUCUCUGCCUCUCUCUAGAAUUACGGGUAGGGUGGUAUGGUCUCACUUGUAGAAUGUGAAAGUGAAACCCUAGUUACAGUAUCUGUGAGAUCUGUGCUCAAUCGCAUCAUUUUCUCACUAUAAGCUUUUUCUGAAUGGGGAAUUGCUGCAGAUCUCCGGCUGCCGUCGCCAGAGAAGAUGUGAAAUCCAACUUUUCUGGUCAUGAUCACGCCAAGAAAGAUGCCGGAGCUGCUAAGAAAGCGCCGAUCACUGUCCUCACUGGUGUUCCUAAAGAGAAUAUUGAAGAGAAGUACCUUGUCGAUCGUGAGCUGGGCCGCGGAGAGUUUGGCGUUACUUAUCUUUGUAUUGACCGUGAUUCUAGGGAGUUACUGGCCUGUAAGAGUAUCUCCAAGCGGAAACUGAGGACUGCGGUGGAUAUUGAAGAUGUGAGACGUGAAGUGGCGAUAAUGAAGCACUUGCCUAAAAAUUCUAGCAUUGUGAGCUUGAAGGAGGCCUGCGAGGAUGACAAUGCGGUGCAUUUGGUAAUGGAGUUGUGCGAGGGAGGUGAGCUGUUUGACCGGAUUGUGGCCAGAGGACAUUAUACGGAGAGAGCAGCUGCGGCUGUCACACGGACGAUUGUGGAGGUUGUGCAGCUGUGCCACAAGCAUGGAGUAAUUCAUAGGGACUUGAAGCCCGAGAAUUUUCUCUUUGCAAAUAAGAAGGAGAAUUCGCCUUUGAAGGCCAUUGAUUUUGGCUUGUCUAUAUUCUUCAAGCCAGGUGAGAGGUUCUCUGAAAUUGUUGGAAGUCCAUAUUACAUGGCUCCUGAGGUGUUAAAGAGGAAUUAUGGCCCAGAAGUAGAUGUCUGGAGUGCUGGUGUCAUACUUUACAUCUUACUCUGUGGUGUCCCACCCUUUUGGGCAGAAACUGAACAGGGAGUUGCACAGGCAAUCAUUAGGUCUGUCAUAGAUUUUAAAAGGGAUCCUUGGCCAAAGGUUUCUGAUAAUGCCAAAGACCUUGUGAAAAAGAUGCUUGAUCCUGACCCAAAGCGUCGGCUUACAGCACAACAAGUGCUAGAUCAUUCUUGGUUGCAGAAUGCAAAGAAGGCACCUAAUGUUUCGUUGGGUGAAACAGUGAAAGCAAGGCUCAAGCAAUUCUCUGUAAUGAACAAACUCAAGAAAAGAGCUCUUAGGGUAAUAGCUGAGCAUUUGUCAGUAGAGGAAGUUGCUGGUAUAAAGGAGGGAUUUCAACUGAUGGAUACUAGCAAUAAGGGCAAAAUUAACAUUGAUGAGCUAAGAAUUGGUUUGCAGAAACUAGGUCAUCAGAUCACCGAUACUGAUCUUCAAAUGCUAAUGGAAGCUGGUGACUUAGACCGGGAUGGGCAUCUGGACUAUGGGGAGUUCGUGACCAUUUCUGUUCACCUAAGAAAGAUGGGCAACGAUGAACACCUUCUCAAGGCCUUUGAAUUCUUUGAUAAAAACCAAAGUGGGUACAUAGAAAUUGAGGAGCUAAGAGAUGCGUUGGCUGAUGAAGUGGAUGAAAACAGCGAAGAGAUCAUUAAUGCUAUCAUUCAUGAUGUGGACACAGAUAAGGAUGGAAGAAUAAGUUACGAUGAGUUUGCGACAAUGAUGAAGGCUGGUACAGAUUGGAGAAAAGCAUCAAGACAGUAUUCGCGAGAGCGGUUCAAUAAUCUGAGCCUCAAAUUAAUGAAGGAUGGGUCAUUAGAACUGAACAGUGAGGGUAGAUGACUCAACAAGAAAGAAUCAUGACUUGUGAAAAGGCUGAAAGUACAAUUUUUUAGUUUUUGGUUUCCAGAUUUUCUUAACCCUUUUGUUAACUCCUUUUUUGGUAAAUAGGAUGUGAGCCCUGGUUGUUGAUUUUUGUUAUGUAAUUUUCACCUGAAUUUGGAAUGUUUCUUGUUCUUGUUGUGAGAGAGUGGUGGGACAAAACUAGUGAUGAAGGUUGAAGAAGAGGCUGUUAUUUGUGGUUGUAAAUGUUGUUACAAUGUUAUUAUUAAUUCAAUGCUUAUAGAAGAAAUGUUAUUAAUUCAAAAA
RNAcentral lists this unclassified non-coding RNA (4864 nucleotides) under Hevea brasiliensis (rubber tree). Lineage: Eukaryota; Viridiplantae; Streptophyta; Magnoliopsida; Malpighiales; Euphorbiaceae. The record is from RNAcentral.